Molecule: non-coding RNA, 69 nt
Organism: Rattus norvegicus (Norway rat)
Lineage: Eukaryota; Metazoa; Chordata; Mammalia; Rodentia; Muridae
Source: Rfam
GGGGAUUUAGCUCAGUGGUAGAGUGCUUGCCUAGCAAGCGCAAGGCCCUGGGUUCGGUUCCCAGCUCCA